GGCGUCAUAGCUCAGUUGGGAGAGCAGCAGACUGAAGUGAGUCCAUGUCAUCUGAAGGUCCGGUGUUCAAGCCACCGUGAUGCCA
This is a non-coding RNA of Mycena vitilis, 85 nucleotides long. Lineage: Eukaryota; Fungi; Basidiomycota; Agaricomycetes; Agaricales; Mycenaceae. The record is from the annotation of a GenBank genome assembly.